GAUGAACGCUGGCGGCGUGCCUAAUACAUGCAAGUCGAACGGAAAGACCCGGAGCUUGCUCGUCUGACGUUAGCCGAGGACGGGUGUGUCACACGUGGAUACCGUCCCUAUAAGACUGAGAUCACUUCGGGAAUCCGGCGAUAAUCCCGGAUAAUAUCUUGCACCGUGUGGGUCAUUGGAAAGAGACGGUUUUUCUGUCACUUCUCGCUGGUUCCGCGCCGCAUUAGCUAGUUGGUAAGGUCACAGCUUACCAAGGCUACCAGGCGUAGCCGACCGGAGAGGGGGAUCGGCCACCCGAGAACGGAGACACGGUCCAGACGCCUGAGAGACGCAGCAGUAGGGAACCGGACGCAAUGGUGGAAAGCCUGACGGAGCAACGCCGCGUGAGUGACGAAGGUCUUCGGAUCGUGAAACUCGGUUAUGAGUUAAGAACAAAUGUGUAAUUAACUAUGCACGUCUUGACGGUACCUAAUCAGAAAGCCACGGCUAACUACGUG
RNAcentral lists this ribosomal RNA (497 nucleotides) under uncultured bacterium. RNAcentral describes it as "partial 16S ribosomal RNA". It matches the Rfam family "Bacterial small subunit ribosomal RNA", at positions 28 to 507 of the family's 1533-position model. The record is from RNAcentral.